CGUUGGCCUUCUGCAGCUCUGCUUUUAAAAGUUUCAGACGGCAUUCAUGGAAGCCGUCGUGCUCUCGAAGAUGGCAAUCUAUUCAUGCGCCUCAAGCGUGUUGCUAUUGGCAGCGGCCCUGGCCUCCUCGGAUUAAUUAUUGCUACUGACUGCCCAGGUUAUUUUUCUCAUGGAGUAUUGAUUAAAUGAUUAUAAUUUGUAACUUUGGCAAAGCAUCACACCAGUGCUAUUCUUGAUUGAGAAGAGAUCAUUGAAUUGAUAUUUCUAGAGGUGAGUUUUUUACUGUCCUGUAUAAUUUUCAUUUAGCAUAUUUUAUUGAAGGUUUAUAUAUUGCUAUUGUUUUUCUUUGAAGGGUAUAAGUUUUGAUUGUCUAAUGUGGGUAUCUAAAAUUUUGCGUUUUUCCAAGGUUGGAAAGUUGCCCUUUUUCAGUCGAUGAAUAAGCAUUGCCUUUUCUUGGAGCAUGCUGUUGGUAUACUGGCAUUACGAGUCUUGUUUCUCUAUUACUUUUAUUACUACUACUAUCUUUUAUGUAGUGGCAGAGUAACCCUUAAGAGGACACCUGGGUUGUCCUUCUAAGCUAUAACUGCUGGACGGGGACUUCUCUUCUGGCACCGCUAAGAAUCGUGUGCAUUAUAAUCUGUUAUCUUGGUUUAUGCAAGUAAGAAUCCUGUCUCUGGCAGUGGAGACUCACUUCAUCCUACCAAUUCCAAAGGCAAAGUCUCAAUUUAUAGUUUUAGCUUAAGAGAGGGAAGCCUAUUUUACCCUUCUGAAUCCUUGGGAAAUGGUUUUGAUGGAGGGGUAAGGGGUUAUCAAUUGUGACAAACUCUUUGAUGGUUGAACACACAAAUGAUAAACCAUUGAAGUAAUAGAUGAUAUAUUGCUAAGCUCAUGAACUUUACCACUUGGAGGGGUUAGAUGCAGAUUAUUUGAAUAGUUUGUGAAUAAUGUUCAGGUUGAUGUUUAAUUUUUCAUGAUCAUCAUUAAUUUGGAAUCAUGUACUCCACUUAGAAGAAAAGACACCUAAAUGUCCUUAUUUAAAGAAAGAAAGGUAAAUGCUCAUACAACUUGCCAGUUUGAUCGAUUUUAUUAGUUUGUUGUGACUUUUAUGAAAGUUUCUCUCUCUGCUGAAAAAUUCCUUUUUGUAAAGUUACUUCCCAACUUGAAGAGUAUCAAAGCUGUUCCUUCAACUAGUGGAAGAUAUGGUAUUGCACAUAAGUCCUGGAUGGGUAGAUUUAAUUGAAUCCAUAAUGUCUAGUCCAACAAGAAUAUAUGCAUUGCAUCCAUCACAGCUCCCUUGCAGCCGAGAAGCAGGUCAAUAUAUGUUACAUAUCCAUAAAUUGAGAUGACCAAAAAUUUCUCUCUCCCCAUGCUAGGACUUACAAGUAAUUGGACCAGCCAAUUUUGUAGAAAACAGCCUAUGUAGACUAGAUUGUUAGUUGUUGGGCAGAUCUAAAUCACAUCUCCGAUUAGUAUUAGCUUUUACUCUUUACUAGUCCUUAUCCUUUGAGAAUAAAAUAGUUUAUCUUAUCUUUUCCACAUUUUAUGCCAUUGUAAAAGAAGAAAGAAACAAAUAAAAAAUGAAGUGGGAAUUAUUGCGAUGUCGAAAGGUAUUGUUAAGAAUUACUUUAUGUAAUGAUUGUCUUAUUUCUACUAGGAAGUAAAAAGAAAAAAGAUCAAUUACCAUGAUCUUGGAAAGGGGCCUUCUUGAAGAAAUGAUAGCUUAUCAUGUACAACAAAGGGAGGAAAUUUUCUUUUUAGUGGGCAGAUGGGCUACAUUGAUGGGGGUAACCCUCCCCACCAACCUUGAAGCCACCCAAUCCCUGGUGAAAGUGGGAUUCAAUCCCAAGUCUCCCCCACAACCAGAAAGCCACCUGGUACCUUCUUUCCAGGAGAAAAUUAAGUGGGCAGGAAGAAGCAGUUCACUUGAUGGGGGCUUCCAUGUUAUAAAUAUGCUCAGUAGGGUCUUAACUGUUUCUGAUAUUCCCAGUUUUGACCUAUCAUUUCUUUGUUAUAAUGUAACUGGGAACUGGUUUUUCAAUUAAACAAUCCCAUGAUUCAGCAACUUUUGCACCAGGGUCCCAGGGGAAUCACAUAGUCCACGUGGACAACAAACUGCUAUUGUUUGCUUAAAAUGUUAUCCUACUCCAAGGAAGUAUCCUCAACAGCCUGGUAUACCAACAAAGGUACCUCUGUAAAUGAUUUCCAUUUUCCUGACUAAUAUUUGUUUCAAUUUCAUUGUUUACUUGGAACCUUGAAAUGGGCAAGAGUAGAUUAGAAAACGUUCUCAAUCAAAUUGUUAUUUAAAUUUACUAACAAUUUGCCUGAUCAUGCGGGACUGGGCUUUACUAGGUUUAGUGCUUCUCGUGCUUCUUAAUGAGUUACCUAAUACAGUUGAUUUUGCCAUG
This is a long non-coding RNA of Nelumbo nucifera (sacred lotus), 2405 nucleotides long. RefSeq lists it as uncharacterized. Lineage: Eukaryota; Viridiplantae; Streptophyta; Magnoliopsida; Proteales; Nelumbonaceae. The record is from RefSeq and is a predicted model, not a curated record.